AAUAGAUGACGCCAUUGACUUUUUUUUUUACAUCUUUGAUCAUUCGUCUCAUUAAAAAAUUUACGUAAUUAUAAUUUAUUUUGUUAUGAGUUGUUUUAUCACUCAUAGUACUUUAAGUGUGAUUUAUAUCUUAUACAUUUGCAAAAAAAAUUUGAAUAGGACGAAUGGUCAAAUAUGUAAGAAAAAAUCAUCGGCGUCAUCUAUU
This 205-nucleotide microRNA precursor is filed under the name Oryza glumipatula. RNAcentral's name for it is "MIR812 microRNA precursor family". It matches the Rfam family "MIR812 microRNA precursor family". The record is from Rfam by way of RNAcentral. Lineage: Eukaryota; Viridiplantae; Streptophyta; Magnoliopsida; Poales; Poaceae.